GCGCGGUAAUACGGAGGGUGCAAGCGUUAUCCGGAAUCACUGGGUUUAAAGGGUGCGUAGGCGGCUUGAUAAGUCAGAGGUGAAAGCCCGCAGCUUAACUGCGGAACGGCCUUUGAUACUGUUGAGCUUGAAACAGGACGAGGUUGGCGGAAUGUGGCAUGUAGCGGUGAAAUGCAUAGAUAUGCCAUAGAACACCGAUUGCGAAGGCAGCUGGCUAGACCUGAUUUGACGCUGAGGCACGAAAGCGUGG
This 250-nucleotide ribosomal RNA is filed under the name uncultured bacterium. Its description in RNAcentral is "partial 16S ribosomal RNA". It matches the Rfam family "Bacterial small subunit ribosomal RNA", at positions 515 to 764 of the family's 1533-position model. The record is from RNAcentral.